RNAcentral lists this long non-coding RNA (308 nucleotides) under Athene cunicularia (burrowing owl). Its description in RNAcentral is "lncRNA (ENSACUG00000006154.1)". The record is from RNAcentral. Lineage: Eukaryota; Metazoa; Chordata; Aves; Strigiformes; Strigidae.
CAGCUGAUGUCCUCCCCCCUCGCCGGGCGGCCCCCAAGGGAGCCAUGUCUGCGGGGGGAGCACCCCAGCCUGCCCACGCCCUGAACCUGCUCCCUUACCCCAGGCUGACCGAGGUGCCGAGGGCCGGACACGACCUGGAUGGUGUCAGCGCGGAGAUCCCAUCCGACCCCUGCACAGGCUACAGAUUUUUCAAGCCCGGGGGGUUGUUCGGGAUUAAACAGUCAGAGGAGCCGUACACCGAAGGCCAGCAGAUGCAGGAGGAGAGCAAGAUCCUCGUGAGCCCCUGUGCGGUGGAGCCCGGUCGGGUG